GACGAACGCUGGCGGCGUGCCUAAUACAUGCAAGUAGAACGCACAGUUUAUACCGUAGCUUGCUACACCAUAAACUGUGAGUUGCGAACGGGUGAGUAACGCGUAGGUAACCUGCCUGGGAGCGGGGGAUAACUAUUGGAAACGAUAGCUAAUACCGCAUAAUAUUGAUUAUUGCAUGAUAAUUGAUUGAAAGAUGCUAUUGCAUCACUACCAGGUGGACCUGCGUUGUAUUAGCUAGUAGGUGAGGUAACGGCUCACCUAGGCGACGAUACAUAGCCGACCUGAGAGGGUGAUCGGCCACACUGGGACUGAGACACGGCCCAGACUCCUACGGGAGGCAGCAGUAGGGAAUCUUCGGCAAUGGACGAAAGUCUGACCGAGCAACGCCGCGUGAGUGAAGAAGGUUUUCGGAUCGUAAAGCUCUGUUGUAAGAGAAGAACGGGUGUGAGAGUGGAAAGUUCACACUGUGACGGUAUCUUACCAGAAAGGGACGGCUAACUACGUG
Molecule: ribosomal RNA, 505 nt
Filed under: uncultured bacterium
Lineage: Bacteria
Description: partial 16S ribosomal RNA
Rfam family: Bacterial small subunit ribosomal RNA
Source: RNAcentral